AUUUCAUACACCGAUUAUGACAGAUUACAUAUGUAAUAAUAAGGAAAAAGUUAAUUGUGAGGAUAUGAAAAUAAUCAAAAACAUGCACAAAACGUAAAGGUUGUUCAGUGUUUAUUCUGUAUCACUUCGCUAUUAUAAUGUUGUACAUUUUUCUUUGUUCAUUUAAAUGUUUUAUUUGAAAUACCACACCCGUAACCGUUUAUUUCUAUAACGGACAUUUCUUAUGGUCCCGUAACUGUCCGUUACAUAGAGAUUUCACUCUGUAUAUAUGCAUGUACACAAUAAUUAAACAUUGCUAACGAAAAACUAUACUAAGCAGAGUUCAGUUCAAAAUUUUUUGAAAGGCCGUAAUAUUUACAAUUUUCGUCAAAAAAAAAUUAAAAAAAAUACUACAUUAAAUUCAAC
Cinara cedri is the source of this 405-nucleotide non-coding RNA. The record is from the annotation of a GenBank genome assembly. Lineage: Eukaryota; Metazoa; Arthropoda; Insecta; Hemiptera; Aphididae.